RNAcentral lists this ribosomal RNA (334 nucleotides) under uncultured eukaryote. Its description in RNAcentral is "partial 18S ribosomal RNA". It matches the Rfam family "Eukaryotic small subunit ribosomal RNA", at positions 1470 to 1796 of the family's 1831-position model. The record is from RNAcentral.
CCCUUAGAUGUCCGGGGCCGCACGCGCGCUACACUGAAGGAAUCAGCGUGGCUUUCUCCCUGACCCGAAAGGGUUGGGAAACCCGUUGAAUCUCCUUCGUGAUAGGGAUUGGGGCUUGAAAUUGUUCCCCAUGAACGAGGAAUUCCCAGUAAGCGCGUGUCAUAAGCUCGCGUUGAUUACGUCCCUGCCCUUUGUACACACCGCCCGUCGCUACUACCGAUUGAACGGUUUAGUGAGGGCCUCGGAUUGGUCUCGGCCCGCUCUUUACCGGGCGGCGCCGUUGGUCGAGAAGACGCUCGAACUUGAUCGUUUAGAGGAAGUAAAAGUCGUAACA